GACGAACGCUGGCGGCGUGCUUAACACAUGCCGGUCGAACGGAAAGGCCCUGCUUUUGUGGGGUGCUCGAGUGGCGAACGGGUGAGUAACACGUGAGUAACCUGCCCUUGACUUUGGGAUAACUUCAGGAAACUGGGGCUAAUACCGGAUAGGAGCUCCUGCUGCAUGGUGGGGGUUGGAAAGUUUCGGCGGUUGGGGAUGGGCUCGCGGCUUAUCAGCUUGUUGGUGGGGUAGUGGCUUACCAAGGCUUUGACGGGUAGCCGGCCUGAGAGGGUGACCGGCCACAUUGGGACUGAGAUACGGCCCAGACUCCUACGGGAGGCAGCAGUGGGGAAUAUUGCACAAUGGGCGGAAGCCUGAUGCAGCAACGCCGCGUGCGGGAUGACGGCCUUCGGGUUGUAAACCGCUUUCGCCUGUGACGAAGCGUGAGUGACGGUAAUGGGUAAAGAAGCACCGGCUAACUACGUG
This 468-nucleotide ribosomal RNA is filed under the name uncultured bacterium. Its description in RNAcentral is "partial 16S ribosomal RNA". It matches the Rfam family "Bacterial small subunit ribosomal RNA", at positions 28 to 507 of the family's 1533-position model. The record is from RNAcentral.